GACGAACGCUGGCGGCGUGCUUAACACAUGCAAGUCGAACGAAGAGCGACGGAAGCUUGCUUCUAUCAAUCUUAGUGGCGAACGGGUGAGUAACGCGUAAUCAACCUGCCCUUCAGAGGGGGACAACAGUUGGAAACGACUGCUAAUACCGCAUACGAUCUAACCUCGGCAUCGAGGAUAGAUGAAAGGUGGCCUCUACAUGUAAGCUAUCACUGAAGGAGGGGAUUGCGUCUGAUUAGCUAGUUGGAGGGGUAACGGCCCACCAAGGCGAUGGUCAGUAGCCGGUCUGAGAGGAUGAACGGCCACAUUGGGAAUGAGACACGGCCCAGACUUCUACGGGAGGCAGCAGUGGGGAAUCUUUCGCAAUGGACGAAAGUCUGAAGGAGCAACGCCGCGUGAGUGAUGACGGCCUUCGGGUUGUAAAGCUCUGUUAAUCGGGACGAAAGGCCUUCUUGCGAAUAGUGAGAAGGAUUGACGGUACCGGAAGAGAAAGCCACGGCUAACUACGUG
This 510-nucleotide ribosomal RNA is filed under the name uncultured bacterium. RNAcentral describes it as "partial 16S ribosomal RNA". It matches the Rfam family "Bacterial small subunit ribosomal RNA", at positions 28 to 507 of the family's 1533-position model. The record is from RNAcentral.